GUGAUCUUGAGCAAGUCACUACAUCUCUCAGUUUCUUCAUCUGAAAAUGCAAGUGAUAAUAACAGUACCUACCCCAUAGGUUGCUAUGAGUUUAAAAGAGUUAAGAUGGGGAGUUGAAAUAUACAUUUAGACUUGCGCUCAAGGUAAACACCACAGAAAUUCUGUUUUCGAUAUUAUUAUUAAGUGGCAAUGCCUUCUUUUCUACAAGUGCAGUGCGGGAAUGAUGACCCUUUUCUUAGAUUCUGCUCUCCUGAGCCCCUGAAAGUCCUUUGAAUGAGCAUUGCUCCACAAAGUUCUAGUUCACCAACUCUGCAGAGACUUCCUAAGCCACCACUUGUUUGCAGUUACAAAGCAAACAACUUUACAACCAAACCACCCACUCUUUCCUGAUCUCUCUCCUUUCUCAUUUGCCUUGAGUUAAUAUGAAAGUUUGUAUUCAAUGAAACUAACAAAGCAAACCUCCUGGGAGGCUGUGAAACACUAGCUAAUUCAUCUUUUACAAAAAAAAUUGCUCAGAAUGUAAUCAAAACCACACUAAAGAAAAUACUCCACAUCUUAUUGGUUGUGUGUCACGCUUUUUCCUGCCUUGCAAAGCUCCCUCUUUCUGGCCACUCUCAAAAAAGUGUCAUCCUCAGACAGAAUGGAGAGCAAGGCCAAAGAGCAAGGAAACAGGAAAAGGGGAGGGCAAUACAUCAAAUCAGGACUGCUUGGCAACACUACACAGUGACAAGAUGAUGUCCUACGUCAAGAUAUCUUACGUCAAACCUGACAUUGAACCUUGUCCCACAGCCCACAGCACAGAACUGAGAUUAGAAUCAGUGUUGGGCUGAAACACACCUUGGAAAUCAUCCUGUUAAUGCCUCCUUACUUCGGUUGACAGAGAAACCAGAGCCCACAGAAGAGGCCUCGUGAUUGAGUAGCAGAGAAGGAAUGAUUAGUGUUUUGUACAUUUCACUUCAGCUUAUUGAACGUUCAUGCUGUGGCUGCCACUGGCACCAGACACCUGUAAAGUUAGAAAUGAGAGAUGCAAGCAGUCAUUGAAGAUUUGGCUUUCUAGCUUGGUUCUACCUCUUAAUUGCUUUGAGAUCAUAAGCAAACCAAUCCCUCAAACCCUGGUUUUACAUCAGCAAAAUGGGAGCUGUUUCCCAAAAAUUCAUUGAGGGUAAGUACU
Molecule: long non-coding RNA, 1171 nt
Filed under: Oryctolagus cuniculus (rabbit)
Lineage: Eukaryota; Metazoa; Chordata; Mammalia; Lagomorpha; Leporidae
Description: lncRNA (ENSOCUG00000030201.1)
Source: RNAcentral